RNAcentral lists this ribosomal RNA (254 nucleotides) under uncultured bacterium. Its description in RNAcentral is "partial 16S ribosomal RNA". It matches the Rfam family "Bacterial small subunit ribosomal RNA", at positions 524 to 776 of the family's 1533-position model. The record is from RNAcentral.
UACGUAGGUGGCAAGCGUUGUCCGGAUUUAUUGGGCGUAAAAGGCUUGUAGGUGGCCACGCCAAGUCGGAUGUGAAAUCUCCCGGCUCAACUGGGAGGGGUCAUUCGAUACUGGCGGGCUCGAGGCCGGUAGGGGGAAGUGGAAUUCCCGGUGUAGUGGUGGAAUGUGUAGAUAUCGGGAGGAACACCAGUGGCGAAGGCGGCUUACUGGUCCGGUUCUGACGCUGAGGCGCGAAAGCCAGGGGAGCGAACAGG